CACGUAGGCGGACUCUUAAGUCAGGGGUGAAAUCCUGGAGCUCAACUCCAGAACUGCCUUUGAUACUGGGAGUCUUGAGUCCGGAAGAGGUAAGUGGAACUGCGAGUGUAGAGGUGAAAUUCGUAGAUAUUCGCAAGAACACCAGUGGCGAAGGCGGCUUACUGGUCCGGUACUGACGCUGAGGUGCGAAAGCGUGGGAGCAAACA
Molecule: ribosomal RNA, 206 nt
Filed under: uncultured bacterium
Lineage: Bacteria
Description: partial 16S ribosomal RNA
Rfam family: Bacterial small subunit ribosomal RNA
Source: RNAcentral